Molecule: ribosomal RNA, 498 nt
Filed under: uncultured bacterium
Lineage: Bacteria
Description: SSU rRNA
Rfam family: Bacterial small subunit ribosomal RNA
Source: RNAcentral
AGAUUGAACGCUGGCGGCGUGCCUAACACAUGCAAGUCGAGCGGUAACAGGUGUAGCAAUACAUGCUGACGAGCGGCGAACGGGUGAGUAAUGCUUUGGAAUCUUCCCAGUAGUGGGGAAUAACCAGUCGAAAGAUUGGCUAAUACCGCAUACGUCUGUAAAGGGAAAGCGGGGGCUCGUAAGACCUCGCGCUAUUGGAUGAGCCAAAGUCGGAUUAGCUAGUUGGUGGGUAACGGCCUACCAAGGCGACAAUCCGUAGCUGGUCUGAGAGGACGACCAGCCACACCGGAACUGAGACACGGUCCGGACUCCUACGGGAGGCAGCAGUGGGGGAAUAUUGGACAAUGGGGGAAACCCUGAUCCAGCGACGCCGCGUGUGUGAAGAAGGCCUGCGGGUUGUAAAGCACUUUUAGUGGGGACAAAAGCUACGGAUUAAUACUCUGUGGUCUUGAUUUAACCCAAAGAAAACGCACCGGCUAACUCUGUGCCAGCAGCCGC